RNAcentral lists this ribosomal RNA (563 nucleotides) under Streptomyces sp. 337B09. RNAcentral describes it as "bacterial SSU rRNA". It matches the Rfam family "Bacterial small subunit ribosomal RNA", at positions 94 to 671 of the family's 1533-position model. The record is from RNAcentral. Lineage: Bacteria; Bacillati; Actinomycetota; Actinomycetes; Kitasatosporales; Streptomycetaceae.
AGUGGCGAACGGGUGAGUAACACGUGGGCAAUCUGCCCUGCACUCUGGGACAAGCCCUGGAAACGGGGUCUAAUACCGGAUAACACUGUCCCCCUCCUGGGGGACGGUUGAAAGCUCCGGCGGUGCAGGAUGAGCCCGCGGCCUAUCAGCUUGUUGGUGGGGUAAUGGCCUACCAAGGCGACGACGGGUAGCCGGCCUGAGAGGGCGACCGGCCACACUGGGACUGAGACACGGCCCAGACUCCUACGGGAGGCAGCAGUGGGGAAUAUUGCACAAUGGGCGAAAGCCUGAUGCAGCGACGCCGCGUGAGGGAUGACGGCCUUCGGGUUGUAAACCUCUUUCAGCAGGGAAGAAGCGAAAGUGACGGUACCUGCAGAAGAAGCGCCGGCUAACUACGUGCCAGCAGCCGCGGUAAUACGUAGGGCGCAAGCGUUGUCCGGAAUUAUUGGGCGUAAAGAGCUCGUAGGCGGUCUGUCACGUCGGGUGUGAAAGCCCGGGGCUUAACCCCGGGUCUGCAUUCGAUACGGGCAGACUAGAGUGUGGUAGGGGAGAUCGGAAUUCCU